UGGGGGAUAUUGCACAAUGGGGGAAACCCUGAUGCAGCGACGCCGCGUGGAGGAAGAAAGUUUUCGGAUUGUAAACUCCUGUCGUUAGGGACGAUAAUGACGGUACCUAACAAGAAAGCACCGGCUAACUACGUGCCAGCAGCCGCGGUAAAACGUAGGGUGCAAGCGUUGUCCGGAAUUACUGGGUGUAAAGGGAGCGCAGGCGGACCGGCAAGUUGGAAGUGAAAUCCAUGGGCUCAACCCGUGAAUUGCUUUCAAAACUGCUGGCCUUGAGUAGUGCAGAGGUAGGUGGAAUUCCCGGUGUAGCGGUGGAAUGCGUAGAUAUCGGGAGGAACACCAGUGGCGAAGGCGACCUACUGGGCACCAACUGACGCUGAGGCUCGAAAGCAUGGGUAGCAAACAGGAUUAGAUACCCUGGUAGUCCAUGCCGUAAACGAUGAUUACUAGGUGUUGGAGGAUUGACCCCUUCAGUGCCGCAGUUAACACAAUAAGUAAUCCACCUGGGGAGUACGACCGCAAGGUUGAAACUCAAAGGAAUUGACGGGGGCCCGCACAAGCAGUGGAGUAUGUGGUUUAAUUCGAAGCAACGCGAAGAACCUUACCAGGUCUUGACAUCCGAUGCAUAGUGCAGAGAUGCAUGAAGUCCUUCGGGACAUCGAGACAGGUGGUGCAUGGUUGUCGUCAGCUCGUGUCGUGAGAUGUUGGGUUAAGUCCCGCAACGAGCGCAACCCUUAUUGCCAGUUACUACGUAAGAGGACUCUGGCGAGACUGCCGUUGACAAAACGGAGGAAGGUGGGGAUGACGUCAAAUCAUCAUGCCCUUUAUGACCUGGGCUACACACGUACUACAAUGGCGUUUAACAAAGAGAAGCAAGACCGCGAGGUGGAGCAAAACUCAGAAACAACGUCUCAGUUCAGAUUGCAGGCUGCAACUCGCCUGCAUGAAGUCGGAAUUGCUAGUAAUCGCGGAUCAGCAUGCCGCGGUGAAUACGUUCCC
This 996-nucleotide ribosomal RNA is filed under the name uncultured bacterium. Its description in RNAcentral is "bacterial SSU rRNA". It matches the Rfam family "Bacterial small subunit ribosomal RNA", at positions 355 to 1375 of the family's 1533-position model. The record is from RNAcentral.